UACGGGGGGGGUAAGCGUUGUUCGGAAUUACUGGGCGUAAAGGGCUCGUAGGCGGCCAACUAAGUCAGACGUGAAAUCCCUCAGCUUAACUGGGGAACUGCGUCUGAUACUGGAUGGCUUGGAUUUGGGAGAGGAAUGCGGAAUUCCAGGUGUAGCGGUGAAAUGCGUAGAGAUCAUGAGGAAGACCAGUGGCGAAGGCGGGUCUCUGGACAGUUCCUGACACUGAGACACGAAGGCCAGGGGAGCAAACGGG
This 253-nucleotide ribosomal RNA is filed under the name uncultured bacterium. RNAcentral describes it as "partial 16S ribosomal RNA". It matches the Rfam family "Bacterial small subunit ribosomal RNA", at positions 524 to 776 of the family's 1533-position model. The record is from RNAcentral.